CUUGAUCGAGCCGAGCCACAACGGCCGAUCGGCCGGGCGGUCCUGCCCGUAGGUCGCCAAGAUCGCUUGGGCCUC
This 75-nucleotide antisense RNA is filed under the name Mycobacterium triplex. RNAcentral's name for it is "ASpks". It matches the Rfam family "ASpks TB sRNA". Lineage: Bacteria; Bacillati; Actinomycetota; Actinomycetes; Mycobacteriales; Mycobacteriaceae. The record is from RNAcentral.